AGAGUUUGAUCAUGGCUCAGGAUGAACGCUAGCGGCAGGCUUAACACAUGCAAGUCGAGGGGUAGUAGUAGCAAUACUAUGAGACCGGCAAACGGGUGCGGAACACGUACACAAUCUACCUUUAUCUGGGGCAUAGCCCGAAGAAAUUCGGAUUAAUUCCCCAUAAUAUAAUUGAGUGGCAUCACUUGGUUAUUAAAACUCCGGUGGAUAGAGAUGAGUGUGCGUCCCAUUAGCUAGUUGGUAGGGUAACGGCCUACCAAGGCGACGAUGGGUAGCUGGUGUGAGAGCACGACCAGCCACACGGGCACUGAGACACGGGCCCGACUCCUACGGGAGGCAGCAGUGAGGAAUAUUGGUCAAUGGACGCAAGUCUGAACCAGCCAUGCCGCGUGAAGGAUGAAGGCCUUCUGGGUUGUAAACUUCUUUUAUGUGGGAAGAAAACUACGGUUUCUACUGUAGCCGACGGUACCAUAGGAAUAAGCACCGGCUAACUCCGUGCCAGCAGCCGCGGUAAUACGGAGGGUGCAAGCGUUAUCCGGAUUCACUGGGUUUAAAGGGUGUGUAGGCGGGCUGUUAAGUCAGUGGUGAAAUCUCCGGGCUCAACCCGGAAACUGCCAUUGAUACUAUCAGUCUUGAAUUCUGUUGAGGUGGGCGGAAUAUGUCGUGUAGCGGUGAAAUGCAUAGAUAUGACAUAGAACACCAAUUGCGAAGGCAGCUCACUAAGCAGCGAUUGACGCUGAGGCACGAAAGCGUGGGGAUCAAACAGGAUUAGAUACCCUAGUAGUCC
This 787-nucleotide ribosomal RNA is filed under the name uncultured bacterium. RNAcentral's name for it is "bacterial SSU rRNA". It matches the Rfam family "Bacterial small subunit ribosomal RNA", at positions 8 to 796 of the family's 1533-position model. The record is from RNAcentral.